GAUGAACGCUAGCGGCAGGCCUAACACAUGCAAGUCGAGGGGUAACAGAUUUAGCAAUAAAUGCUGACGACCGGCGCACGGGUGAGUAACACGUUUGCAACCUACCUCUAACUGGAGAAUAGCCCGGAGAAAUUCGGAUUAAUACUUCAUAACAUCAUAAAAAGGCAUCUUUUAGUGAUUAAAGCUCAGGCGGUUAGAGAUGGGCAUGCGUGACAUUAGCUAGUUGGUGAGGUAACGGCUCACCAAGGCUACGAUGUCUAGGGGGUCUGAGAGGAUGAUCCCCCACACUGGUACUGAGACACGGACCAGACUCCUACGGGAGGCUG
RNAcentral lists this ribosomal RNA (326 nucleotides) under uncultured Bacteroidota bacterium. Its description in RNAcentral is "bacterial SSU rRNA". It matches the Rfam family "Bacterial small subunit ribosomal RNA", at positions 28 to 351 of the family's 1533-position model. The record is from RNAcentral. Lineage: Bacteria; Pseudomonadati; Bacteroidota.